RNAcentral lists this ribosomal RNA (556 nucleotides) under Alternaria alternata. Its description in RNAcentral is "eukaryotic LSU rRNA". The stretch from base 204 to 357 matches the Rfam family "5.8S ribosomal RNA". The record is from RNAcentral. Lineage: Eukaryota; Fungi; Ascomycota; Dothideomycetes; Pleosporales; Pleosporaceae.
CGGGGCCACAAAAAAACGUGGAUGGCGGAGGGUCAUUACACAAAUAUGAAGGCGGGCUGGAACCUCUCGGGGUUACAGCCUUGCUGAAUUAUUCACCCUUGUCUUUUGCGUACUUCUUGUUUCCUUGGUGGGUUCGCCCACCACUAGGACAAACAUAAACCUUUUGUAAUUGCAAUCAGCGUCAGUAACAAAUUAAUAAUUACAACUUUCAACAACGGAUCUCUUGGUUCUGGCAUCGAUGAAGAACGCAGCGAAAUGCGAUAAGUAGUGUGAAUUGCAGAAUUCAGUGAAUCAUCGAAUCUUUGAACGCACAUUGCGCCCUUUGGUAUUCCAAAGGGCAUGCCUGUUCGAGCGUCAUUUGUACCCUCAAGCUUUGCUUGGUGUUGGGCGUCUUGUCUCUAGCUUUGCUGGAGACUCGCCUUAAAGUAAUUGGCAGCCGGCCUACUGGUUUCGGAGCGCAGCACAAGUCGCACUCUCUAUCAGCAAAGGUCUAGCAUCCACUAAGCCUUUUUUUCAACUUUUGACCUCGGAUCAGGUAGGGAUACCCGCUGAACUU